This 74-nucleotide transfer RNA is filed under the name compost metagenome. RNAcentral describes it as "tRNA-Gly". It matches the Rfam family "tRNA". Rfam says of the family: Transfer RNA (tRNA) molecules are approximately 80 nucleotides in length. The record is from RNAcentral.
GCGGGAGUAGUUCAAUGGUAGAACAUCAGUUUUCCAAACUGAUUACGCGGGUUCGAUUCCCGUCUCCCGCUCCA